Molecule: long non-coding RNA, 1222 nt
Organism: Drosophila serrata
Lineage: Eukaryota; Metazoa; Arthropoda; Insecta; Diptera; Drosophilidae
Source: RefSeq, a predicted model, not a curated record
GUUAAUAACCGUUAGCUUUGGCCCCGGGGCUUCCCCGCUUUUUUAUUUGAUAUUAUUACGAUAAUUUAUUUGGGCAAUAAAUUUGGCAAAGAAAAAUGCAUUUACAUUUCCCUUUGUGCCAUAAUUUCCAACUGCCACUCCCCUCCGCCGGGGCGAAGUUACGAGAUUACGAGGGGUUAACCCACUCACAGCCAGAUCGAAGCGAAUCGAUGCGAAUCGUCGAUUCGGUGCGAAACUAUUUCCGCCAUAACUCUCUAUUAAAAGCUCAUUUGAAUCCUCAACUUUGCCAUGACUCAUUGAAAAGCGAGUAAACAGAAGGAGCUGGGAAAAAGUGCGAUUGAAAAUGAGCUUCGGUCGUAAAUUUUCAAUGAGGGUUUCCACACAAUUGCAGUUGGAUGCAUUUUUACGAUUAUCACAUUAUUAAUAUUAUUACUAGGGAUAUUUCAUGGCCUCCUAGCACACCGACGAAGCUAUUUUCAGAAGCAGAAGAAUCAAGAAAACACGAAGGAAAAUUAACUUGGGGAAUCCGGAGUUCGAAUCCUCUUUCAGUUUGGUCCCAACAGAUGCAAAAUUUUCAAUUGUUACAUUUACAACUGUAGUCAAUUUAUACCUCUUAUAAAAUUUAUAAACACCUUUGCAGUUAUGUUAAGAAAACAAUAACGAUAUUUCUAUUCCGAUACAUUUUCAAACUGUAAUGAGCACACUUGGACUUCUAUCCAAAGAGACUGGGCUAGAUCCACUCGGCUGUUGACGCAACUAAAGCUUCAUACUAAGGACCUGGAGUAAGAGUAUCAACUACUCUCUCCGGCUUUUUUCUGCUGCCCGGUUCCGGCACUGUUGACACGCUAAUUUAAGCGCGGGCAAACAACGUAAACGUAAAUGGUUCGGAGUUGGAAUGCCGUAAUAAAUCAUAAAACAAAACUGAACGGUCCCAAUAAUAAAGAACGAAAGAGAGAACUCUGUAUUGCAAUGUGAUCGAGCAUUUGUUUGCAGUGUUGUGUUCUAUUUGCGAAAUGAAAAUCGCAUUUUUUCUGUUGCAUUGGAUUUCUGUGGUAUAUCAGUGGUGACAUAUGGUGGCGAAUAUCCUUGGACUUCGUGACGAAUCAAACAAAUACCAAAUUACGUGAACAAAUUACUUGCGUCAAAAACCAAAGUCAAACUAUAAAAAAUCAGUAGUUUUUAUGUGAGAACUGUGAGAACAAUAAACGUGAACUAAAAGGAA